GAGAGAUUCGCCAGGGAGUACUCAACUGGUGUUUGUUCAACCUCGCAGCUGGUACUCGGUGCCACUGCAAAGGCCCAUUAAUGGAAAUGGGAUGAGUUUAUGGAUUUAAGAGACUCCACACCCUCUCCACUGAGGGGCGUUAAUCCUGGUACUGGCAGAUGAGCAGUCCUGGGAAUCACUGGCAGCCGAUUUCACAGGAGUUCCAACAAGGCCUUUUAUGCGCCCUGCUCCCAGUCUGGGGUGGCAGGCUCACUCUCUUUCCCACCUACUUUUCUGCCUUAUAGGACCCAUAGUCUCCAGGAUUCAAUAUGUUAGGAGAAUUUUCAAGUUAAUCCAUGGUGCCUGGCUUCCAUGGGAAAGAAGAGGCUCCACCAAGGAGCUCCAUUCUGGAGGCUACCCAGCUGAGGGUGCAGAAGUGGCAAACCUCUCCUCUUUUUUACCACCCUCCCUUCUCCCCCCAAGACACCCCACCCAAUUUCACCUCAGAACUGACAGCCCCCUCAGGAGAAACUAAGGGCAGAGAAAUGGUGCCUGGGCUUCCCAGCCAAUGAAAUAGAAAGUCGCCUUUUUGGUGACACAUAGCAUCUUUUAAGGCAACAAGAGGACCUUGACCCUAAUGUCCAUGUGAAAUGUAAGGGAGUGAGAAAGGGGAUAGAAGGGGCUUUUAUUGGGAAGAUUCACUGGCACUCUGACACCAAGGCAGAGCGACACAGCAACCUAGGAAUGGAGAGCAGCAAGAUGGGU
This 744-nucleotide long non-coding RNA is filed under the name Marmota monax (woodchuck). The record is from RNAcentral. Lineage: Eukaryota; Metazoa; Chordata; Mammalia; Rodentia; Sciuridae.